Molecule: ribosomal RNA, 200 nt
Filed under: uncultured bacterium
Lineage: Bacteria
Description: partial 16S ribosomal RNA
Rfam family: Bacterial small subunit ribosomal RNA
Source: RNAcentral
AGAGUUUGAUCCUGGCUCAGAGCGAACGCUGGCGGCGUGCUUAACACAUGCAAGUCGAGUGCGCGGUAGCAAUACUGGCGCACGGCGCACGGGUGCGUAACACGUGGGCAACCUGCCCUCCAAUGGGGGAUACCCCCGCGAAAGCGGGACUAAUACCGCAUGAUAUUCCGGGAACGCAUGUUCCUGGAUUCAAAGCUCGU